AUUGAACGCUGGCGGCAUGCCUUACACAUGCAAGUCGAACGGCAGCGCGGACUUCGGUCUGGCGGCGAGUGGCGAACGGGUGAGUAAUACAUCGGAACGUACCCUGUUGUGGGGGAUAACUAGUCGAAAGAUUAGCUAAUACCGCAUACGACCUGAGGGUGAAAGUGGGGGACCGCAAGGCCUCACGCAGCAGGAGCGGCCGAUGUCUGAUUAGCUAGUUGGUGGGGUAAAGGCCCACCAAGGCGACGAUCAGUAGCUGGUCUGAGAGGACGAUCAGCCACACUGGGACUGAGACACGGCCCAGACUCCUACGGGAGGCAGCAGUGGGGAAUUUUGGACAAUGGGGGCAACCCUGAUCCAGCAAUGCCGCGUGUGUGAAGAAGGCCUUCGGGUUGUAAAGCACUUUUGUCCGGAAAGAAAUCGCGCUGGUUAAUACCUGGCGUGGAUGACGGUACCGGAAGAAUAAGCACCGGCUAACUACGUGCCAGCCGCCGCCGUUAA
RNAcentral lists this ribosomal RNA (501 nucleotides) under uncultured bacterium. Its description in RNAcentral is "partial 16S ribosomal RNA". It matches the Rfam family "Bacterial small subunit ribosomal RNA", at positions 30 to 524 of the family's 1533-position model. The record is from RNAcentral.